GAUUUGCAAAUAUGGCUCGUUAUAUGAUUCCAAUGCACUAAUAAAUUAGUUUUUACAAUGUAGUAAUCUUUUCAGCAUAUAAUUUUUAUAUAUGCAGUAUAUAUAGUAUAUUUUACUUUUGUAUAUAUAAUAGUUCUGUUUAUGGUAUGUAUUAUGUAUAAUUAAUUUUGUAAUGAAACUUUUUCAAACAAUAUAGCUUAUUAGAAAAACUCCGUAUAAAAAAUACAAAGUGUAUAUACACUGAUAUAAGGUUAUCACAUUUGAAUUUACCGCGUGUUGAUCAAGCGACGUCAUAUGACGGGCGCAUUGGUCGGGCGUCGAGCCGCGGACCGGCCAGUCUUUGUGCAGAUCAUAACCAUAACCCAUAACGUGCAACAGCCGACUCAACGUGUUUCGUCUUGUUUUCAAGCGAAAUUCUAAUCUUUGUAGUCUUGUGGUAGCAAAUUCCUAGCAAAAUCCGUGGAAAUAAUUUAAUAGCCAAUAUAAGAAAAGGAGCAUUGUUAUAUUAUAAUUCAAAAUGGAGGACUGCAAAACCACCACUAUUUUGUUGAAGUUUGGUAAUACAGCUGAUCUAGAUAAACCCGAAAAUUACGUGAAGCGCUGGUUUAGCACAAGUGCUCAGCGAGUGGUGUAAAUGCGUUUCAUAAAAAUAGAUAUUGCUAAAAUGUGAUAUAUAUACAUAUAUAUUAUUAGUACUUGUUUUACGCAGCAAUUUAUAUAAUGUGCAAUUUAACUAUAUAAAAUAGAUAUAUAAGCAAGCAUAAUCUACGAUA
Solenopsis invicta (red fire ant) is the source of this 773-nucleotide long non-coding RNA. RefSeq lists it as uncharacterized. The transcript is spliced from 3 exons. The record is from RefSeq and is a predicted model, not a curated record. NCBI's taxonomy places the organism in Eukaryota, Metazoa, Arthropoda, Insecta, Hymenoptera, Formicidae.